This is a long non-coding RNA of Quercus robur (English oak), 729 nucleotides long. RefSeq lists it as uncharacterized. The transcript is spliced from 2 exons. The record is from RefSeq and is a predicted model, not a curated record. NCBI's taxonomy places the organism in Eukaryota, Viridiplantae, Streptophyta, Magnoliopsida, Fagales, Fagaceae.
AACAUAGUAUACAAUAAACAUAAGUUACACAACCAUAAAAGCCUGGCAUACCAGGUAGCAAUUCUUCUGUUCCUAGUCCCUAGACCAUACCUCGUCAUCUUCAUCAUGUUUAUAAGUGUCCCUAAACAGGUACAAUUCUGCUCACAAGCGAUUGUAUAUCAGGUUAAGAAUUUGCAAUUAUGCAUAUUAAUAAGGAUAGAGUUAUUGUGAAGAGAAACAUAAGAAGAACUAAUGCAGUGGAGAUCAUUUCAGCGGAUGAAGAUUAGUAAUGGUUUUAUAGUGCAAUUUGGUAUAAUAUGUCCAGGCUUUCCAAAGCCUAAGUUUCACAAGUAAUGCUAACACAAUGUCUAGAAGAGAUUUCUGUAGAGCAUUUUACAUAGUUUUACAUCCAACAGUGCUUAAGUUGAUGAAUACCCAAAACACAAAGACAGGUCUCGCCAGCAUUGAACUCUAUGAAGAUGAAUAGCAAGGUGGGAAUUGGAGAUCAUGCAAAAUUUAAACAUAUGGAGCCUCAAACUGGGUUGGAAGACACAUGAGAGAUAGAAAGAAUUGAUGCCAAUACUGAACUAGCAUAGUUAAUGGUGCAGGUAGAACAAAAUUGAGGCUCCAUGUAGAAAUUCCUGCAAGUAAUUUAGUAAUAAACUAUAAGAUUGUUUCACGUUACACUUGAUUGAGUUAUCAACACUCUUUAAUCCAUCAAUACAAUUGUUCGUAGCUUAAGGAGGCAUA